CGAGCGGGCAUCAGAUCUGCACUGAAUAAAUGGAUGCAUAUAUUUGUUGGUGUUUUCCAUCUCAUUAUGGCCACGACUUAGUAUUUUUAAAAUAAUCAUUUUGCCCAAACAUUAACCAAUAUGUUGCAACAGAGCAGAGGAACAGUCGGCAACAGGGCAUGCUUUCGCGAAUUUCUCAUCUUCUGGAAGUGAAAGGGCUGUUUCUAUUUUUAGUUUUCUCCCUGGAGGAUGGGCUCCUGGUCUGGGUGCUCUCCCCGUCUGCCUCGAGGGGAGCAGAGCAGAGCCUCCGGACCCUUCCCCAGCAUCCACACCCCUCGUUCACAGCCAUCCGAGAGGGGGAAAAGCCUCUCCCUUGACGGCUUUGAGCACUCUCCUGGCCUGAGACAGAAGCCUGUGACCUGGGCAGGCAGGAAAUGGGACCCCUCCCAGCUCCAGUCCCGCAGAUUCAGUCCACCCGGGCCUCAGGGCCUCCUCUCAGCACCCGGGAGCCCGACAGGUGGAGCAUUAAGCAGAGGCUGUCACGAGGGUCAGCAGGGAAGCCGCCACAACUGGCCAUCUGCCCAGAUCUCUUGACUUCAGCACGUGGAUGACGCCGCGUGCUGGAUGAGCUAUGGUGCUGUAGAAUCACAGCAUGCGUCGUGGCCCAGCGGCGUCCGGGAGGAGCUUGCCCUCGACCACAGGGCCCAAGACUGAGAAUCUGGACUCCUCUGCAGUUUUACUUCAAAGACAUACAAGCCUGCUCUUCGUUGCUCUUAAUUUACCAGUGCUUGCCUUGAAGUCAUCAAAAGGAAAGAGGACUGCCCACCCACCCACCCCCUGGGCCCCUCCUGGAGGGUUCCUGCAGCUCUGCCUCCUCUGGAUAAGAGCCCCGAUGGCCUUCUGGCCCACGAGUGCGUUGGCUGCACACUCUCCCCACUCCCACUCUUUGGGAAAUGCCUUUGUCCCCCUUCGUUGGGUCCAUUUGUCUUGGGGUGGCAGGAUUUAUUCUCAGCUCUGGACACAUCGUUCCUUGUCCUCUGACAGCUUUGUUCCGCAUGAGAAAUCCAUGCUGCUCCUUCUCGGGGCUCUCCUGUGCAUGAUGGAUAUUUUUCUCCUGAUGGUUUUUAGAUUUUUCUUUAUCUAUGGUUUUCAUGAAUUCAACUAUGAUGUGCCUAGAUGUAAUUUUAUUUGAAUUUAUUAUAUUUGGCAUUUAUUAAGUUUCUUAAAUUUGUGGGUUUUUUCCCCAUCAAAUUUGAUAAAUUCCCAGUGACUAUAUCUUA
Long non-coding RNA from Marmota monax (woodchuck), 1259 nucleotides. RefSeq lists it as uncharacterized. The record is from RefSeq and is a predicted model, not a curated record. The transcript has 2 exons. Lineage: Eukaryota; Metazoa; Chordata; Mammalia; Rodentia; Sciuridae.